Oryza sativa Japonica Group (Japanese rice) is the source of this 205-nucleotide non-coding RNA. Lineage: Eukaryota; Viridiplantae; Streptophyta; Magnoliopsida; Poales; Poaceae. The record is from RefSeq and is a predicted model, not a curated record.
CUCGAGCAGGGGCGACGGUCGAGUACGGGCCUGUACGUGACCGAGUGGCACGUGAGCUGAUGAGGUCCGUGAACGACGCGGGUGUUGCCCUUGGCACACCUGCUGGGUCAGAGAAUGAAGUUGGGAUACUUCGGAGCGCACUUCAGAGGCUAAAACAACGAAGUCGGAUGUUAGCGGCAAGACUUGGUUGUAGGUCCACAAACGC